RNAcentral lists this transfer RNA (65 nucleotides) under Dipodomys ordii (Ord's kangaroo rat). It matches the Rfam family "tRNA". From Rfam's summary of the family: Transfer RNA (tRNA) molecules are approximately 80 nucleotides in length. Their secondary structure includes four short double-helical elements and three loops (D, anti-codon, and T loops). Further hydrogen bonds mediate the characteristic L-shaped molecular structure. tRNAs have two regions of fundamental functional importance: the anti-codon, which is responsible for specific mRNA codon recognition, and the 3' end, to which the tRNAs corresponding amino acid is attached (by aminoacyl-tRNA synthetases). tRNAs cope with the degeneracy of the genetic code in two manners: having more than one tRNA (with a specific anti-codon) for a particular amino acid; and 'wobble' base-pairing, i.e. permitting non-standard base-pairing at the 3rd anti-codon position. The record is from Rfam by way of RNAcentral. Lineage: Eukaryota; Metazoa; Chordata; Mammalia; Rodentia; Heteromyidae.
GGUGGCUCAGUGGUAGAGUGCUUGCCUACCAUGCAUGAGACCCUGGGUUCAAUUCCUCAGCACCA